CAGCCCCUCGAGUGGUGGGGAUGAUUAUUUGGCCUAAAGCGUCCGUAGCCGGCCGUGUAAGUCCCCCGUUAAAUCCAGCGUCUCAAGCGUUGGACCGCGGGAGAUACUACACGGCUAGAGAGUGGGAGAGGUCAGCGGUAUUCUGGGGGUAGGGGCGAAAUCCAUUGAUCCCAGGAGGACCACCAGUGGCGAAGGCUGCUGACUAGAACACGCCUGACGGUGAGGGACGAAAGCUGGGGUAGCGAAUCGGAUUAGAUACCCGAGUAGUCC
RNAcentral lists this ribosomal RNA (270 nucleotides) under uncultured archaeon. RNAcentral describes it as "partial 16S ribosomal RNA". It matches the Rfam family "Archaeal small subunit ribosomal RNA", at positions 477 to 747 of the family's 1478-position model. The record is from RNAcentral.